CUACGGGGGGCAGCAGUGAGGAAUAUUGCACAAUGGGGGGAACCCUGAUGCAGCAACGCCGCGUGGAGGAUGACGCAUUUCGGUGUGUAAACUCCUUUUAUAUGUCAAGAAAAUGACGGUAGCAUAUGAAUAAGCACCGGCUAACUCACGUGCCAGCAGCCGACGGUAAUACGGAGGGUGCAAGCGUUACUCGGAAUCACUGGGCGUAAAGGACGCGUAGGCGGGUUGGAAAGUCAGGUGUGAAAUCCUACAGCUUAACUGUAGAACUGCACUUGAAACUUCUAAUCUAGAGUAUGGGAGGGAGAGAUGGAAUUAGUGGUGUAGGGGUAAAAUCCGUAGAUAUCACUAGGAAUACCGAAGGCGAAGGCGAUCUCCUGGAACAUUACUGACGCUAAGGCGUGAAAGCGUGGGGGGCAAACAGGAUUAGAUACCCGAGUAGUC
RNAcentral lists this ribosomal RNA (441 nucleotides) under uncultured bacterium. RNAcentral's name for it is "partial 16S ribosomal RNA". It matches the Rfam family "Bacterial small subunit ribosomal RNA", at positions 339 to 795 of the family's 1533-position model. The record is from RNAcentral.